UAGGGAAGAACAAGUGCAAGAGUAACUGCUUGCACCUUGACGGUACCUAACCAGAAAGCCACGGCUAACUACGUGCCAGCAGCCGCGGUAAUANGUAGGUGGCAAGCGUUGUCCGGAAUUAUUGGGCGUAAAGGGCUCGCAGGCGGUUUCUUAAGUCUGAUGUGAAAGCCCCCGGCUCAACCGGGGAGGGUCAUUGGAAACUGGGAAACUUGAGUGCAGAAGAGGAGAGUGGAAUUCCACGUGUAGCGGUGAAAUGCGUAGAGAUGUGGAGGAACACCAGUGGCGAAGGCGACUCUCUGGUCUGUAACUGACGNUGAGGAGCGAAAGCGUGGGGAGCGAACAGGAUUAGAUACCCUGGUAGUCCACGCCGUAAACGAUGAGUGNUNAGUGUUAGGGGGUUUCCGCCCCUUAGUGCUGCAGCUAACGCAUUAAGCACUCCGCCUGGGGAGUACGGUCGCAAGANUGAAACUCAAAGGAAUUGACGGGGGCCCGCACCAGCGGUGGAGCAUGUGGUUUAAUUCGAAGCAACGCGAAGAACCUUACCAGGUCUUGACAUCCUCUGACAACCCUAGAGAUAGGGCUUUCCCUUCGGGGACAGAGUGACAG
RNAcentral lists this ribosomal RNA (606 nucleotides) under Bacillus aerius. RNAcentral describes it as "bacterial SSU rRNA". It matches the Rfam family "Bacterial small subunit ribosomal RNA", at positions 440 to 1037 of the family's 1533-position model. The record is from RNAcentral. Lineage: Bacteria; Bacillati; Bacillota; Bacilli; Caryophanales; Bacillaceae.